Molecule: ribosomal RNA, 949 nt
Filed under: Triticum aestivum (bread wheat)
Lineage: Eukaryota; Viridiplantae; Streptophyta; Magnoliopsida; Poales; Poaceae
Description: partial small subunit ribosomal RNA
Source: RNAcentral
CCUUUCUGCAGUCUUCUGGACUUCUCUGUUCUUCUUUCCUCACACAAGUUGCUCUCUUGAUUCACUGCAUUCAGGAUGCUCGUCCUAACCUGAAGCCACCCCCGCACCUGGUGCUUUGACGGGGUGACCAUCGACGGCGAUUGAGGGUUAGCAGGGCCCAAGGAUCUACUACACCAGAGUCUAGGCAAGAUCAUCGAUCUGGACGCUGCCGUUGAUGCUGUCGUCCGUGUCGUUGAUUUGGUCUUGGAUUUCAUCUCCCGCAGGCCUGCAACGGCAACAUUGUUCCAAAUUGAGCUGCAGGUGAUAUCAUAUUUGUGACAUGAAGAGUAAGAGAGCCACAUGUCAAUCUUAAGGAGGUGUUUUUUGGGAAUGUUUAUAUGUUCCAAUCAUGCCAUGUAUCUUCAUCUCCAGUUGGAUGGAGCUGCUGGUAUUACGACAGGAACCCACCAUAGCAUCUGAGAGAUAUCCUAUGGCCACUGGAGGAAGAUAAUUCUGAAGUUGAUCUCGAAGUUUGGGUCGCCGGAGGAAGAUGAUGUGCGAGGAAGAUCAUGUAGAAGUUGUAACCUAAAAUCUCGAGGACAACGAACCUAUGAGGUCGUGGGGAAGGUCUUAUAUGGAUGGUUAAGUUUCUCAUGUUUGCACGAUGGAAAAAAAUUGGAUUCCAUGUGGACACAUAUUCUGUUUGGAGAGAUAUGAUAUUUUCGAUUUCGUUAGGCACAUUAGACCUUUUUUUGGGAUGGCCUCAUCGCUGAUGGCAUGGUCCAUCCUGUAUGCGUGCGAUGGCCCAACCUGCAUGUUUUUUUCUUCUUAAUGAUGCGUGAUGCAUGUGUGUUUCUGAUCCCUCACGGGAUGGUCCAACCAUUGGGGUUGUGGUUGGGAUCGUGAAAAUCAAACGUGAAGCCGUCAUUGGACGCUAUGGACCCAGAUCAUUUACGAAGAUCGAAUGGUU